RNAcentral lists this signal recognition particle RNA (94 nucleotides) under Pseudodesulfovibrio sp. RNAcentral's name for it is "signal recognition particle sRNA small type". It matches the Rfam family "Bacterial small signal recognition particle RNA". Rfam says of the family: The signal recognition particle (SRP) is a universally conserved ribonucleoprotein involved in the co-translational targeting of proteins to membranes. Lineage: Bacteria; Pseudomonadati; Thermodesulfobacteriota; Desulfovibrionia; Desulfovibrionales; Desulfovibrionaceae. The record is from RNAcentral.
GAGGGAAGCCGGACGGCGGUUGCGCCGAGAACCCCGUCAGGUCCGAAAGGAAGCAGCGGUAUUGGUUGCAAUCGGGUGUCUGGCUUCCACUCAA